AUGGCGGAAGGAAAAGGGGCCAUGUCAACGAAUCUGAAAAUGAUGCCACAACAACAUAUCGGUUCCGGCAUCGGCACGGUGUACUUGGCGAUCCAAAACGGAGCAGAACAAAGGUCCUGGUUACAGUCUUGUUUUUUGGACUUGGUGGACAUCGAGUCUCGCGGGGAUCUUGUCGGUGAUGAGUACUUGGAGCUGCGGCAGAGGACAAACAUGGGACCUGGCGCCUGGUGCAACCGGCGAUUGAUGAGGCAGAGAUGGAGCUGCUCUGGCAUGGGGAGGCGCAGGGUGCUAGAGUAG
Molecule: ribosomal RNA, 297 nt
Filed under: Triticum aestivum (bread wheat)
Lineage: Eukaryota; Viridiplantae; Streptophyta; Magnoliopsida; Poales; Poaceae
Description: partial small subunit ribosomal RNA
Source: RNAcentral